GGCUGUGUAGCUCAAUAGGCUAGAGCGCGUAAAAUCUAUCUAUUUUAGAUAGUAACAGCUACACAUUUUUCCAUUAUAAGGACGAGGUUUAUGGUUCGAGUCCAUACGCAGCCACCA
RNAcentral lists this transfer RNA (117 nucleotides) under Caudoviricetes sp. Its description in RNAcentral is "tRNA-OTHER". It matches the Rfam family "tRNA". From Rfam's summary of the family: Transfer RNA (tRNA) molecules are approximately 80 nucleotides in length. The record is from RNAcentral. Lineage: Duplodnaviria; Heunggongvirae; Uroviricota; Caudoviricetes.